AGCGAACGUUGGCGGCGUGCUUAACACAUUUUAGUCUUGAGGGGAAAGCUUCUUCGGAAGUAAGUACACCGGCGCACGGGUGCGUAACACGUGAGUAAUCAACCCUUUAGACUGGAAUAACUCGCCGAAAGGCGUGCUAAUGCUAGAUAGUCAAUACCUUCCUGCGGGUAGUGUAUUGUAAAGACGGUUUCGGCUGUCACUAGAGGACGAGCUCGCGGCCCAUUAGCUAGUAGGUGAGGUAACGGCUCACCUAGGCUACGAUGGGUAGCUGGUCUGAGAGGAUGAUCAGUCACACUGGCACUGGAACACGGGCCAGACUCCUACGGGAGGCAGCAGUGAGGAAUUUUGCGCAAUGGGCGAAAGCCUGACGCAGCGACGCCGCGUGAGGGAUGAAGGCCCUUGGGUCGUAAACCUCUGUCAGCAGAGAAGAAAUACCAAGGUUAACUACCUUGGUUCUGACGGUAUCUGUAAAGGAAGCACCGGCUAACUCCGUGCCAGCAGCCGCGGUAAUACGGAGGGUGCAAACGUUGCUCGGAUUUACUGGGCGUAAAGGGAUCGCAGGCUGCCUAUUAAGUCUGAUGUGAAAGCCCGAGGCUCAACCUCGGAACUGCAUUGGAUACUGGUAGGCUAGAGUAUGUUAGAGGUAAGCGGAAUACCUGGUGUAGCGGUGAAAUGCGUUGAGAUCAGGUGGAACACCAGUGGCGAAGGCGGCUUACUGGGGCAUUACUGACGCUGAGGAUCGAAAGCGUGGGGAUCAAACAGGAUUAGAUACCCUGGUAGUCCACGCCCUAAACGAUGAGUACUAGGUGUCUCAACUUUGACCGUUGGGGUGCCGAAGCUAACGCAUUAAGUACUCCGCCUGGGGACUACGGCCGCAAGGCUAAAACUCAAAGGAAUUGACGGGGACCCGCACAAGUGGUGGAGCAUGUGGUUUAAUUCGAUGAUACGCGAAGAACCUUACCUGGGCUUGAAAUCCUGCGAAUCUGUUAGAGAUAACGGAGUGCCUUCGGGAAUGCAGUGACAGGUGCUGCACGGCUGUCGUCAGCUCGUGUCGUGAGAUGUUGGGUUAAGUCCCGCAACGAGCGCAACCCCUGUCUCUAUUUGCUAACAUUUAGUUGAGAACUAUAGAGAGACUGCCCCGGUCAACGGGGAGGAAGGAGGGGACGACGUCAAGUCAUCAUGGCCCUUAUGCCCAGGGCUACACACGUGCUACAAUGGCGGAUACAGAGGGCAGCCAACCCGCGAGGGGGAGCUAAUCCCAGAAAGUCCGCCCCAGUUCGGAUUGUAGUCUGCAACUCGACUACAUGAAGUUGGAAUCACUAGUAAUCGCGGAUCAGCUACGCCGCGGUGAAUGCGUUCCCGGGUCUUGUACACACCGCCCGUCACACCACGAGAGUCGGCGGCGCUGGAAAACAGUGGUCUAACCUUCGGGAGGAAGCUGUUUAAGGCGAAUCCGGUGAUUGGGGUGAAGUCGUAACAAGGUAGCC
RNAcentral lists this ribosomal RNA (1487 nucleotides) under uncultured prokaryote. RNAcentral's name for it is "partial 16S ribosomal RNA". It matches the Rfam family "Bacterial small subunit ribosomal RNA". The record is from RNAcentral.